UGGGGAAUAUUGGACAAUGGGCGCAAGCCUGAUCCAGCCAUGCCGCGUGAGUGAUGACGGCCUUAGGGUUGUAAAGCUCUUUCGCACGCGACGAUAAUGACGGUAGCGUGAGAAGAAGCCCCGGCUAACUUCGUGCCAGCAGCCGCGGUAAUACGAAGGGGGCUAGCGUUGUUCGGAUUAACUGGGCGUAAAGGGUGCGUAGGCGGAUUUUUAAGUCAGGGGUGAAAUCCCAAGGCUCAACCUUGGAACGGCCUUUGAUACUGGGGAUCUUGAGUCCGGGAGAGGUGAGUGGAACUGCGAGUGUAGAGGUGAAAUUCGUAGAUAUUCGCAAGAACACCAGUGGCGAAGGCGGCUCUCUGGACAGUUCCUGACGCUGAUGCACGAAGGCCAGGGGAGCAAAC
RNAcentral lists this ribosomal RNA (401 nucleotides) under uncultured bacterium. RNAcentral's name for it is "bacterial SSU rRNA". It matches the Rfam family "Bacterial small subunit ribosomal RNA", at positions 355 to 773 of the family's 1533-position model. The record is from RNAcentral.